UACGUAGGGUGCAAGCGUUAAUCGGAAUUACUGGGCGUAAAGCGUGCGCAGGCGGUUUUGUAAGACUGUCGUGAAAUCCCCGGGCUCAACCUGGGAAUGGCGAUGGUGACUGCAAGGCUAGAGUUUGGCAGAGGGGGGUAGAAUUCCACGUGUAGCAGUGAAAUGCGUAGAGAUGUGGAGGAAUACCGAUGGCGAAGGCAGCCCCCUGGGCCAGUACUGACGCUCAUGCACGAAAGCGUGGGGAGCAAACAGG
Molecule: ribosomal RNA, 253 nt
Filed under: uncultured bacterium
Lineage: Bacteria
Description: partial 16S ribosomal RNA
Rfam family: Bacterial small subunit ribosomal RNA
Source: RNAcentral